RNAcentral lists this ribosomal RNA (301 nucleotides) under uncultured bacterium. RNAcentral's name for it is "partial 16S ribosomal RNA". It matches the Rfam family "Bacterial small subunit ribosomal RNA", at positions 509 to 807 of the family's 1533-position model. The record is from RNAcentral.
CAGCAGCCGCGGUAAUACGGAGGGUGCAAGCGUUAAUCGGAAUUACUGGGCGUAAAGCGCACGCAGGCGGUCUGACAAGUCAGAUGUGAAAUCCCCGGGCUUAACCUGGGAACUGCAUUUGAAACUGUCAGGCUGGAGUCUUGUAGAGGGGGGUAGAAUUCCAGGUGUAGCGGUGAAAUGCGUAGAGAUCUGGAGGAAUACCGGUGGCGAAGGCGGCCCCCUGGACAAAGACUGACGCUCAGGUGCGAAAGCGUGGGGAGCAAACAGGAUUAGAGACCCGAGUAGUCCCUGUCUCUUAUAC